GGCUGAUCGCCGACGGAUCGGGCGCCACCAUCCCGGUGGCCGGCGACGCGAUCCUCGCCCUGCGCUUCGAGCGCGCGGUCGGCCAC
RNAcentral lists this transfer RNA (86 nucleotides) under Microbispora amethystogenes. RNAcentral describes it as "tRNA-Gly". The record is from RNAcentral. Lineage: Bacteria; Bacillati; Actinomycetota; Actinomycetes; Streptosporangiales; Streptosporangiaceae.